GUUUUAAUAGUUUAAAAAAAACGAUGAUAUUGUAAAUCAUAAAUAGAGUUAAUCUUUAAAACU
This 63-nucleotide transfer RNA is filed under the name Sclomina erinacea. Its description in RNAcentral is "tRNA-Thr". The record is from RNAcentral. Lineage: Eukaryota; Metazoa; Arthropoda; Insecta; Hemiptera; Reduviidae.